Molecule: ribosomal RNA, 1235 nt
Filed under: metagenome
Description: bacterial LSU rRNA
Rfam family: Bacterial large subunit ribosomal RNA
Source: RNAcentral
AAACCCCCUCGCCGAAAGACUAAGGUUUCCUGAUCAACGCUAAUCGGAUCAGGGUCAGUCGGGUCCUAAGGCUCAGCCGAACGGCGAUGCCGAUGGCAGAAACGGUUAAUAUUCCGUUACUACCUUCAGGAGUGACGUGGAGACGCAGUAGUGACAGUGCCGCCAUCUGACGGAAUAGAUGGUUGAAGGGUGUAGGAGUCGAUCAUGGCAGGCAAAUCCACCAUGAGAUCCGAACCUGAUAGUAUGCCGCGUCCUUCGGGACAAGGCAAUAGUGCGCGUAAGCAUGCUGCCGAGAAAAUCCGCUAAACUUAAUCCUGCAGGUACCCGUACCGCAAACGGACACACGUAGUCGGGUUGAAUAUACUAAGGCGCUUGAGUGAUUCACGGUUAAGGAACUAGGCAAACUGACCCUGUAACUUCGGGAUAAAGGGUCCCUACCCUUUUAUGGGAGGGCGCAGAGAAUCGGUCCAGGCAACUGUUUAACAAAAACACAGGGCUGUGCCAAAUCGAAAGAUCCAGUAUACAGCCUGACACCUGCCCGGUGCUGGAAGGUUAAGAGGAGAUGUCAUCGAUAAGAGAAGCGUUGAAUUGAAGCCCCAGUAAACGGCGGCCGUAACUAUAACGGUCCUAAGGUAGCGAAAUUCCUUGUCGGGUAAGUUCCGACCUGCACGAAUGGUGUAAUGAUCUGGACGCUGUCUCAACCGUGAGCUCAGUGAAAUUGUAGUAUCGGUGAAGAUGCCGAUUACCCGCGAUGGGACGAAAAGACCCCGUGAACCUUUACUAUAGCUUAUCAUUGAAUCUGGGCACGUGAUGUGUAGGAUAGGUCGGAGGCUUUGAAGCAGGUACGCCAGUAUUUGUGGAGCCGCUGUUGAAAUACGACCCUUUAUUUGUUUGGAUUCUAACCCGUGGAACGGGGACAUUGAUUGGUGGGUAGUUUGACUGGGGUGGUCGCCUCCAAAAGCGUAACGGAGGCUUCUAAAGGUGCCCUCCGGCCGAUUGGUAACCGGCCUUAGAGUGUAAUGGCAUAAGGGCGCUUGACUGGGAGACUGACAAGUCGAUCAGGUAGGAAACUAGAGCAUAGUGAUCCGGUGUUUCCGUAUGGAAGGGACAUCGCUCAAAGGAUAAAAGGUACUCCGGGGAUAACAGGCUGAUCCCUCCCAAGAGCUCAUAUCGACGGAGUGGUUUGGCACCUCGAUGUCGGCUCGUCACAUCCUGGGGCUGGAGAAGGUCCCAAG